This 478-nucleotide ribosomal RNA is filed under the name uncultured bacterium. RNAcentral's name for it is "partial 16S ribosomal RNA". It matches the Rfam family "Bacterial small subunit ribosomal RNA", at positions 28 to 507 of the family's 1533-position model. The record is from RNAcentral.
GAUGAACGCUAGCGGCAGGCCUAACACAUGCAAGUCGAGGGAGAAGCCCUUUCGGGGGCCGAAACCGGCGCACGGGUGCGUAACGCGUAUGCAACCUACCUUUCACAGGGGGAUAGCCCGAAGAAAUUUGGAUUAAUACCCCAUAAUAUUAUUGGAUGGCAUCAUUUGAUAAUUAAAACUGCGGUGGUGAAAGAUGGGCAUGCGUCCUAUUAGCUAGUUGGAGUGGUAACGGCACCCCAAGGCUACGAUAGGUAGGGGUCCUGAGAGGGAGAUCCCCCACACUGGUACUGAGACAGGGACCAGACUCCUACGGGAGGCAGCAGUGAGGAAGAUUGGUCAAUGGUCGGAAGACUGAACCAGCCAUGCCGCGUGCAGGAAGAAUGCCUUAUGGGUUGUAAACUGCUUUUAUAUGGGAAGAAUAAGGCGUACGUGUACGUUGAUGACGGUACCAGAUGAAUAAGCAUCGGCUAACUCCGUG